UUACCGUUGGUGAACCAGCGGUAGGAUCAUUACCAUGAAAAUACCUUUUUAUGCCAACAACCAUUGAGUGCCUUUCGGUCCUUUAAAAGACCCUGGACACUUUGUGAUCACUUGACUUUCUGUCUCGUCUUUUCUUCUUGGUUCUCUGUUCGCUUUCUUGCGCGCGGGGGCACAGGGAGGAAAAGACUGAGAUGGACGCCUUUUCCCCCCUUCGGCUUUUCGGUCGGUUGGGGGAACGGGUAUAUACCAGAUUACGCACUAUUUUUGUUUCUAAGCUGGAGUACCUUUCAUCUUUUUUUUUCACAAGAAAGGAAUAACACAAAUAACUAAAACAAAAACAACUUUUAACGGUGGAUCUCUAGGUUCGUGCAUAGAUGAAGAACGCAGC
RNAcentral lists this unclassified non-coding RNA (388 nucleotides) under plant metagenome. Its description in RNAcentral is "partial contains internal transcribed spacer 1 and 5.8S ribosomal RNA". The stretch from base 340 to 388 matches the Rfam family "5.8S ribosomal RNA", at positions 1 to 49 of the family's 154-position model. The record is from RNAcentral.